GGGUCAGUAGGUUGGUCGUGCCACCGGUACGUACUGGUCUCACUGAUUCCUCCUUCCUGAAGAACCGUAAUGCCAUUAAUUUGUUGUUGCGGGGAAACAGGACUGUUACUUUGAAAAAAUUAGAGUGUUUAAAGCAAGCUAACGCUUGAAUACAUUAGCAUGGAAUAAUGGAAUAGGACGAUCGAUCCUAUUUUGUUGGUUUCUAGGAUUGACGUA
Molecule: ribosomal RNA, 216 nt
Filed under: Glomeromycotina sp.
Lineage: Eukaryota; Fungi; Glomeromycota
Description: partial small subunit ribosomal RNA
Rfam family: Eukaryotic small subunit ribosomal RNA (bases 40-216)
Source: RNAcentral